GAACGCUGGCGGCAUGCUUUACACAUGCAAGUCGAACGGCAGCGCGGGGGCAACCCUGGCGGCGAGUGGCGAACGGGUGAGUAAUAUAUCGGAACGUACCCAAGAGUGGGGGAUAACGUAGCGAAAGUUACGCUAAUACCGCAUACGAUCUACGGAUGAAAGCAGGGGACCGCAAGGCCUUGUGCUCGUGGAGCGGCCGAUAUCUGAUUAGCUAGUUGGUAGGGUAAAGGCCUACCAAGGCAUCGAUCAGUAGCUGGUCUGAGAGGACGACCAGCCACACUGGGACUGAGACACGGCCCAGACUCCUACGGGAGGCAGCAGUGGGGAAUUUUGGACAAUGGGCGGAAGCCUGACGCAGCAACGCCGCGUGUGGGAAGACGGCUUUCGGGUUGUAAACCACUUUCAGGGGGGACGAAGCUUCCGAGGUUAAUAGCCUACGGGGUGACGGUACCCCCAGAAGAAGCCCCGGCUAACUACGUGCCAGCAGCCGCGGUAAUACAGAGGGUGCGAGCGUUAAUCGGAAUUACUGGGCGUAAAGCGUGCGUAGACGGUUAUUUAAGUCGGGUGUGAAAGCCCCGGGCUCAACCUGGGAAUUGCAUUCGAGACUGAAUAGCUAGGGUACGGUAGAGGGAAGCGGAAUUUCCGGUGUAGCGGUGAAAUGCGUAGAUAUCGGAAGGAACAUCAGUGGCGAAAGCGGCUUCCUGGACCAGUACCGACGUUCAGGCACGAAAGCG
Molecule: ribosomal RNA, 734 nt
Filed under: uncultured soil bacterium
Lineage: Bacteria
Description: bacterial SSU rRNA
Rfam family: Bacterial small subunit ribosomal RNA
Source: RNAcentral